GCUCUGUAGCCCAGUUGGUUAGAGCGCUGCAAUGGAAUCGCAGGGCCGCAGGUUGAAUUCCUGCCAGGGACC
This 72-nucleotide transfer RNA is filed under the name Paramuricea clavata. RNAcentral's name for it is "tRNA-Ser". It matches the Rfam family "tRNA". From Rfam's summary of the family: Transfer RNA (tRNA) molecules are approximately 80 nucleotides in length. Lineage: Eukaryota; Metazoa; Cnidaria; Anthozoa; Malacalcyonacea; Plexauridae. The record is from RNAcentral.